CUAGAUGGAGCAACUUAAUUAAGACUAGCUACCUGUGUUUCAUAGAAGAUUACGUGUCCUCCUAACAGUGGCGUAGCUAAAGGGAUGAAUCUCAUGUCAGCACUGCCCAUUGUCACUGCCACCUCUCAUUUCACCAGAACUGUACAGAUGUUUUAUUGUUGCCAGUUUUUACUUUUCUGUCUUGUAGCUUAGACAGAUCCAGAUGUUAUUGGAGUUAUCACGAUAGAUGGCUGAUGUUGAAAUUUGCUCCAUAUCUGUGGUGAAGCGUUUGAAAGUUUUUUUCAGGGUGUGGCUUCUUGACUCAGUGAGAAGUACUCCAGAACUGGAGAAUGAGAACUAACAGUUGGUUAGUAACGGGUCAAGAAGGAUGUUCAGGAGCGUCUUCAAAACAGCAGUACAAACCGCUUUCCACAAUAUAGAGGACAAUCCUGGUCAUUUGAAAAAGUGGUAGAAAAUAUAUCGAGAUUGUCUGAUUCUUCAUCUACUUCACCUUUGAUGUUGAAACUGAGGAUCUUGAAUCUGAUGCUGGAAGUUUGUCCUGUCCGGUUUUUAUGCAGGUGCAGGAACGGUCCUCGUUGGUUUAAAGCUGUUUAGAGAAUAACGUCUAAUGUCUGUAGGACUAUUCGUAGUACUUGAUUCUACGCCGCAUGUCAUUAAGAGAUGAGAAUAAUUUACUCUGUUAUUAAC
Molecule: long non-coding RNA, 687 nt
Organism: Ictalurus punctatus (channel catfish)
Lineage: Eukaryota; Metazoa; Chordata; Actinopteri; Siluriformes; Ictaluridae
Exons: 3
Source: RefSeq, a predicted model, not a curated record